RNAcentral lists this ribosomal RNA (433 nucleotides) under uncultured bacterium. RNAcentral's name for it is "partial 16S ribosomal RNA". It matches the Rfam family "Bacterial small subunit ribosomal RNA", at positions 29 to 507 of the family's 1533-position model. The record is from RNAcentral.
AACGAACGCUGGCGGCAUGCCUAACACAUGCAAGUCGAACGAGACCUUCGGGUCUAGUGGCGCACGGGUGCGUAACGCGUGGGAACCUGCCCUUAGGUUCGGAAUAACUCCCCGAAAGGGGUGCUAAUACCGGCUAAUGUCUUCGGACCAAAGAUUUAUCGCCUUUGGAUGGGCCCGCGUUGGAUUAGCUAGUUGGUAGGGUAAAAGCCUACCAAGGCGACGAUCCAUAGCUGGUCUGAGAGGAUGAUCAGCCACACUGGGACUGAGACACGGCCCAGAAUCUUACGGGAGGCAGCAGUGGGGAAUAUUGGACAAUGGGGGGAAGCCUGAUCCAGCAAUGCCGCGUGAGUGAUGAAGGCCUGAGGGUUGUAAAGCUCUUUUACCCGGGAUGAUAAUGACAGUACCGGGAGAAUAAGCUCCGGCUAACUCCGUG